GGGUAACCAAAGCCGGCGCACGGGUGCGUAACGCGUAUACAAUCUGCCUUUCACAUAGGGAUAGCCCGAAGAAAUUUGGAUUAAUACCUAAUGGUAUAUAAGAGCGGCAUCGUUUUUAUAUUAAAGCUACGGUGGUGAAAGAUGAGUAUGCGUUCUAUUAGCUAGUUGGAGAGGUAACGGCUCCCCAAGGCGACGAUAGAUAGGGGUUCUGAGAGGGAUGUCCCCCACACUGGUACUGAGAUACGGACCAGACUCCUACGGGAGGCAGCAGUGAGGAAUAUUGGACAAUGGUCGGAAGACUGAUCCAGCCAUGCCGCGUGCAGGAUGAAGGUCCUAUGGAUUGUAAACUGCUUUUGUAAGGGAAGAAUAAGGAGUACGUGUACUUUGAUGACGGUACCUUACGAAUAAGCAUCGGCUAACUCCGUGCCAGCAGCCGCGGUAAUACGGAGGAUGCGAGCGUUAUCCGGAAUCAUUGGGUUUAAAGGGUCCGUAGGCGGGCUGAUAAGUCAGAGGUGAAAGCGCUUAGCUCAACUAAGCAACUGCCUUUGAAACUGUCAGUCUUGAAUGAUUGUGAAGUAGUUGGAAUGUGUAGUGUAGCGGUGAAAUGCUUAGAUAUUACACAGAACACCGAUAGCGAAGGCAUAUUACUAACAAUUCAUUGACGCUGAUGGACGAAAGCGUGGGGAGCGAACAGGAUUAGAUACCCUGGUAGUCCACGCUGUAAACGAUGGAUACUAGCUGUUUGGAGCAAUCUGAGUGGCUAAGCGAAAGUGAUAAGUAUCCCACCUG
Molecule: ribosomal RNA, 789 nt
Filed under: uncultured Cytophaga sp.
Lineage: Bacteria; Pseudomonadati; Bacteroidota; Cytophagia; Cytophagales; Cytophagaceae
Description: bacterial SSU rRNA
Rfam family: Bacterial small subunit ribosomal RNA
Source: RNAcentral